GAUGAACGCUGGCGGCGUGCCUAAUACAUGCAAGUCGAGCGAACAGAUAAGGAGCUUGCUCCUUUGACGUUAGCGGCGGACGGGUGAGUAACACGUGGGUAACCUAUCUAUAAGACUGGAAUAACUCCGGGAAACCGGGGCUAAUGCCGGAUAACAUGUUGAACCGCAUGGUUCUACAGUGAGAGGCGGCUUUGCUGUCACUUAUCGAUGGACCCGCGCCGUAUUAGCUAGUUGGUGAGGUAACGGCUCACCAAGGCAACGAUACGUAGCCGACCUGAGAGGGUGAUAGGCCACACUGGAACGGGGACACGGUCCAGACUCCUACGGGAGGCAGCAGUAGGGAAUCUUCCGCAAUGGGCGAAAGCCUGACGGAGCAACGCCGCGUGAGUGAUGAAGGUCUUCGGAUCGUAAAACUCUGUUAUUAGGGAAGAACAAAUGCGUAAGUAACUGUGCGCGUCUUGACGGUACCUAAUCAGAAAGCCACGGCUAACUACGUG
This 497-nucleotide ribosomal RNA is filed under the name uncultured bacterium. RNAcentral's name for it is "partial 16S ribosomal RNA". It matches the Rfam family "Bacterial small subunit ribosomal RNA", at positions 28 to 507 of the family's 1533-position model. The record is from RNAcentral.